UUAAGCGACUAAGCGUACACGGUGGAUGCCCUGGCAGUCAGAGGCGAUGAAGGACGUGCUAAUCUGCGAUAAGCGCCGGUAAGGUGAUAUGAACCGUUAUAACCGGCGAUUUCCGAAUGGGGAAACCCAGUGUGAUUCGUCACACUAUCAUUAACUGAAUCCAUAGGUUAAUGAGGCGAACCGGGGGAACUGAAACAUCUAAGUACCCCGAGGAAAAGAAAUCAACCGAGAUUCCCCCAGUAGCGGCGAGCGAACGGGGAGGAGCCCAGAGCCUGAAUCAGCAUGUGUGUUAGUGGAAGCGUCUGGAAAGGUGCGCGAUACAGGGUGACAGCCCCGUACACAAAAGCGCAUGUGCUGUGAGCUCGAUGAGUAGGGCGGGACACGUGGUAUCCUGUCUGAAUAUGGGGGGACCAUCCUCCAAGGCUAAAUACUCCUGACUGACCGAUAGUGAACCAGUACCGUGAGGGAAAGGCGAAAAGAACCCCGGCGAGGGGAGUGAAAAAGAACCUGAAACCGUGUACGUACAAGCAGUGGGAGCACAGGUUUACCUGUGUGACUGCGUACCUUUUGUAUAAUGGGUCAGCGACUUAUAUUCUGUAGCAAGGUUAACCGAAUAGGGGAGCCGGAGGGAAACCGAGUCUUAAUUGGGCGUUAAGUUGCAGGGUAUAGACCCGAAACCCGGUGAUCUAGCCAUGGGCAGGUUGAAGGUUGGGUAACACUAACUGGAGGACCGAACCGACUAAUGUUGAAAAAUUAGCGGAUGACCUGUGGCUGGGGGUGAAAGGCCAAUCAAACCGGGAGAUAGCUGGUUCUCCCCGAAAGCUAUUUAGGUAGCGCCUCGUGAAUUCAUCUCCGGGGGUAGAGCACUGUUUCGGCUAGGGGGCCAUCCCGGCUUACCAACCCGAUGCAAACUGCGAAUACCGGAGAAUGUUAUCACGGGAGACACACGGCGGGUGCUAACGUCCGUCGUGAAGAGGGAAACAACCCAGACCGCCAGCUAAGGUCCCAAAGUCAUGGUUAAGUGGGAAACGAUGUGGGAAGGCCCAGACAGCCAGGAUGUUGGCUUAGAAGCAGCCAUCAUUUAAAGAAAGCGUAAUAGCUCACUGGUCGAGUCGGCCUGCGCGGAAGAUGUAACGGGGCUAAACCAUGCACCGAAGCUGCGGCAGCGAACGUAUCACCCAAGACAACUUUACGGAGUUGACGAUUGACGGAGCGAAGCGACGUCAAAGCGUUCAUUAAAGUCGAGUUGGCUUAGGGAUACGUUCGUUGGGUAGGGGAGCGUUCUGUAAGCCUGUGAAGGUGUGUCGUGAGGCAUGCUGGAGGUAUCAGAAGUGCGAAUGCUGACAUAAGUAACGAUAAAGCGGGUGAAAAGCCCGCUCGCCGGAAGACCAAGGGUUCCUGUCCAACGUUAAUCGGGGCAGGGUGAGUCGACCCCUAAGGCGAGGCCGAAAGGCGUAGUCGAUGGGAAACGGGUUAAUAUUCCCGUACUUGGUGUUACUGCGAAGGGGGGACGGAGAAGGCUAUGUUGGCCGGGCGACGGUUGUCCCGGUUUAAGCGUGUAGGUGUGUGUUCCAGGUAAAUCCGGUUCACUUUAACACUGAGGCGUGACGACGAGGCACUACGGUGCUGAAGCAACAAAUGCCCUGCUUCCAGGAAAAGCCUCUAAGCAUCAGGUAACACGAAAUCGUACCCCAAACCGACACAGGUGGUCAGGUAGAGAAUACCAAGGCGCUUGAGAGAACUCGGGUGAAGGAACUAGGCAAAAUGGUGCCGUAACUUCGGGAGAAGGCACGCUGACACGUAGGUGAAGUGAUUUACUCAUGGAGCUGAAGUCAGUCGAAGAUACCAGCUGGCUGCAACUGUUUAUUAAAAACACAGCACUGUGCAAACACGAAAGUGGACGUAUACGGUGUGACGCCUGCCCGGUGCCGGAAGGUUAAUUGAUGGGGUCAGCGCAAGCGAAGCUCCUGAUCGAAGCCCCGGUAAACGGCGGCCGUAACUAUAACGGUCCUAAGGUAGCGAAAUUCCUUGUCGGGUAAGUUCCGACCUGCACGAAUGGCGUAAUGAUGGCCAGGCUGUCUCCACCCGAGACUCAGUGAAAUUGAACUCGCUGUGAAGAUGCAGUGUACCCGCGGCAAGACGGAAAGACCCCGUGAACCUUUACUAUAGCUUGACACUGAACAUUGAGCCUUGAUGUGUAGGAUAGGUGGGAGGCUUUGAAGUGUGGACGCCAGUCUGCAUGGAGCCGACCUUGAAAUACCACCCUUUAAUGUUUGAUGUUCUAACGUGGACCCGUAAUCCGGGUUGCGGACAGUGUCUGGUGGGUAGUUUGACUGGGGCGGUCUCCUCCUAAAGAGUAACGGAGGAGCACGAAGGUUGGCUAAUCCUGGUCGGACAUCAGGAGGUUAGUGCAAUGGCAUAAGCCAGCUUGACUGCGAGCGUGACGGCGCGAGCAGGUGCGAAAGCAGGUCAUAGUGAUCCGGUGGUUCUGAAUGGAAGGGCCAUCGCUCAACGGAUAAAAGGUACUCCGGGGAUAACAGGCUGAUACCGCCCAAGAGUUCAUAUCGACGGCGGUGUUUGGCACCUCGAUGUCGGCUCAUCACAUCCUGGGGCUGAAGUAGGUCCCAAGGGUAUGGCUGUUCGCCAUUUAAAGUGGUACGCGAGCUGGGUUUAGAACGUCGUGAGACAGUUCGGUCCCUAUCUGCCGUGGGCGCUGGAGAACUGAGGGGGGCUGCUCCUAGUACGAGAGGACCGGAGUGGACGCAUCACUGGUGUUCGGGUUGUCAUGCCAAUGGCACUGCCCGGUAGCUAAAUGCGGAAGAGAUAAGUGCUGAAAGCAUCUAAGCACGAAACUUGCCCCGAGAUGAGUUCUCCCUGAGACUUAGAGUCUCCUGAAGGAACGUUGAAGACGACGACGUUGAUAGGCCGGGUGUGUAAGCGCAGCGAUGCGUUGAGCUAACCGGUACUAAUGAACCGUGAGGCUUAACCU
This 2989-nucleotide ribosomal RNA is filed under the name Salmonella enterica subsp. enterica serovar 4,[5],12:i:-. RNAcentral's name for it is "23S ribosomal RNA". It matches the Rfam family "Bacterial large subunit ribosomal RNA". The record is from RNAcentral. Lineage: Bacteria; Pseudomonadati; Pseudomonadota; Gammaproteobacteria; Enterobacterales; Enterobacteriaceae.